RNAcentral lists this long non-coding RNA (263 nucleotides) under Elaeis guineensis (African oil palm). RNAcentral describes it as "long non-coding RNA (EGUI_LNC021903)". Lineage: Eukaryota; Viridiplantae; Streptophyta; Magnoliopsida; Arecales; Arecaceae. The record is from RNAcentral.
CACAUAGCAUCUAGAAGUGGGUGGCUAAAUGGAGGAGUAAUGGGCACCAUCUGUGCCUGAUUAGCAGUUGGCGUUGGAAGAAUGGGAGCAUUGGGUGGGGCAGCAUUGUAAGUGAAGUUUGGAUCAAACCGGUGUUGACACAUCGAGACAUAAUGGCCUGGCUAUCUAUAUAGUUGACAGUGGAGACCAUUGCACUGCCAUGAUCGAUCGUGCCCCCGGCCACGAUUGAGACGUGUAGUGAGAGCAUACUCUGAGGAAUGGGU